AUUGAACGCUGGCGGCAGGCCUAACACAUGCAAGUCGGACGGUAGCACAGAGAGCUUGCUCUCGGGUGACGAGUGGCGGACGGGUGAGUAAUGUCUGGGGAUCUGCCCGAUAGAGGGGGAUAACCACUGGAAACGGUGGCUAAUACCGCAUAACGUCGCAAGACCAAAGAGGGGGACCUUCGGGCCUCUCACUAUCGGAUGAACCCAGAUGGGAUUAGUUAGGAGGCGGGGUAACGGCCCACCUAGGCGACGAUCCCUAGCUGGUCUGAGAGGAUGACCAGCCACACUGGAACUGAGACACGGUCCAGACUCCUACGGGAGGCAGCAGUGGGGAAUAUUGCACAAUGGGCGCAAGCCUGAUGCAGCCAUGCCGCGUGUAUGAAGAAGGCCUUCGGGUUGUAAAGUACUUUCAGCGGGGAGGAAGGCGAUGUGGUUAAUAACCGCAUUGAUUGACGUUACCCGCAGAAGAAGCACCGGCUAACUCCGUGCCAGCCGCCGCGGUAA
RNAcentral lists this ribosomal RNA (504 nucleotides) under uncultured bacterium. Its description in RNAcentral is "partial 16S ribosomal RNA". It matches the Rfam family "Bacterial small subunit ribosomal RNA", at positions 29 to 523 of the family's 1533-position model. The record is from RNAcentral.